RNAcentral lists this ribosomal RNA (310 nucleotides) under uncultured Actinomycetales bacterium. RNAcentral describes it as "bacterial SSU rRNA". It matches the Rfam family "Bacterial small subunit ribosomal RNA", at positions 997 to 1310 of the family's 1533-position model. Lineage: Bacteria; Bacillati; Actinomycetota; Actinomycetes; Actinomycetales. The record is from RNAcentral.
AGUGCAGAGAUGCACUCCCCGCAAGGUCUCUACACAGGUGGUGCAUGGUUGUCGUCAGCUCGUGUCGUGAGAUGUUGGGUUAAGUCCCGCAACGAGCGCAACCCUCGUCCUAUGUUGCCAGCACGUUAUGGUGGGAACUCAUGGGAUACUGGCGGGGUCAACUCGGAGGAAGGUGGGGAUGACGUCAAAUCAUCAUGCCCCUUAUGUCUUGGGCUUCACGCAUGCUACAAUGGCCAGUACAGAGAGAUGCAAUACCGUAAGGUGGAGCGAAUCCCAAAAAGCUGGUCUCAGUUCGGAUUGAGGUCUGCAA